ACUGAGGUCAGGAAGGCAGAUGGUGCUGCUGGCCUGCUGCCUUACAACCCCUUCCAUCCUCCUCUUCCCUGGUAGUGAAAAUACCUCAUUAGGUUUAGGAGGUGUGGCAGAAAGGAGAGGGGAGGAAAACUCUGUUCUUUCACCUGACAAAAAGAAAAAGAAUAGUUUUGGAAAGAUCUGUUGGUUAGGUGAGAACUACUUUCAUUUUCUGGCUUCUCCUCCUUGCACAUCCCCUAGAAGCUAUGAGGCAUCUGGAGGUGUUGCUCCAUGCUGUGUCCAUGCUCACUGUUACAUUAAUUUCAAUAAAUCAUGCAAAUGAAAAAAAAAAAAAAGAAAAAACCCUAAAACCUUCCUUCUGUGCAAAAAUAAAUCAAAAUGUUAAAGUUUGCAAUCCAGAUUUUUGUCCAAUGUGAAAAGAGCUGUUGUGUAAUGGCCUGUCCCUUUCUUCUCUCUGAAGGUCCCAACCCCAUGUGUCCCACUUGUCUGGAAUAACCUUUGGAGUCUGGCAGUCUGGUCCUUUUCAUAGCUCCAGAGGAUUUUUAGGAGCAUGGGGAGCAUGGGAUGCAUGGACCUGUGGACCCACAAAACCAUCUGGAGAAUGCUGGCUGUGGAUAAAAGCAUCUGGAAGUUUCUACCAUCUUUUUACUCUGUUUUUCCCUGGGUCACCCUGUGUCAUUUGUGGCCCUGUCCUGAGGAUUACAGCUUACAGUCACUUACUGGAAUACCUCCUCAUGCAUCUUCUUGAAAUGGAGCCAUUGCUUUACCCAGCUGGAAGAUAUUUUCUGUUCUCCCAGAGCUUUUCCAGUGCAGCAGCAGCACUCCUGUCCAGCAGGUCUGGAUUGACUGCAGAAAGGAGAAGGGAGGAGCGUGUCAAAGGGAGGUCAGAUCCUGCCAGGGUUUCCUGGGAAAUGAGGUUUUGCUGUAUUUGCCUCUUCAGGCCUGAUGGGAGGAUUGUAGACUGCUGUUGUGCUUGGGAGUAUCAGAAGGGCUGGAGACUAUCUGGAAUAUGUUGAGGUGUAUCCACUGUUUGGAUGAUGAAACUUGAUGAGCUGCAAUUUGGCUUGGAUUACAGUACUUCAGAAGACUUUCUGAACUUGCCACGCAACCCUCCCCCUAGACUUUGGGGACAGAGGAGCUUAAAUUUAUAUUUCCAGCAUCACACAAGGAGAUAGAAUGGAGUUGGCUGCUUUACACAAGUAAUGAAAAUCAAUGCUGUGUUGCUCUUGGAAGAAGUGCUCAAAAGGACAAAAGCCUGGCAUAUACAUCUUGGUUUAGAGACAGAUUUUACCUGGGAAGAGUGUGCCCAGGAGAAGAUACCAGAAGGAGAAGAGGUGAUGCUACAAGCCAGCUUCCUGACCUCCAGAGUGGGACUGAAGCUUUGUAACAAGAUUUAUCUGGAAAGUAUGACUGACAGGAGCAGCUUACUCACCAUUAGAUAAGUAUUGCAGAUGACUCAUGCUGGAGUAUUGAUAGUUGUGCUGCUGAGAUGGAUAUCCUGUUUUAUAACAGCUGUAGUGUGAUGCCAAGAGCCAGGAACCUUAAUUUCACUAUCCGUGCUUUUCUGUGAACGUGCAUUGGGUCUCUGGCACCUUUGCUCCUUGGUUUGUUCAUCUAAAGGGUUCACAGGGAGGGGAAGUUUUGCUUCCCUCAGGGGGUACAGGGUAUGGGGCAGCUCAUGUCACCUUGAAAUGAAAGCUAGUGUUGAAAGGCUGCAGCUUUUAUAGCUGUUCUCCACAACAUGCAAUAUUUGUCUUUUUAAUAGAUGCCAUUAGUGACUUUCUCUCGAUACUUUGGGGUUUUUUUUUGUUUUGCUUGUGUUUUUCCAGAGCCAUCGUACCCCUUCUUCAGCAGAACAAACCAGAAGGUGUAGAAACAGAUUUUCUAAGUAUGGAAGCUCUCCUGAGGAGCUGCAUUAUGCACUGCUGCCCCUGGGAUGGGACGCAGAGCAAGGAGUGAAGAAGAGCUGCAAUAUGCCACUGCUUUUGUGAGGAGAGGGGCUUUCUGGCGUGUCACAUAGUGCCAAAAGACAUUUUACUCUUGGCAGCAAGAAUCCUUAUCCUUCUUGUUUGUUUUAUUUUUUUCCAGGACAGAUGCUAUUUCCUGUUAGAGAUGCUUUGUAUGCAAAUCAAGGUGGUACAACAAGAAAAAAGUCCUGAAAGCAAUCACACUGAUAAACUCAGCCCACUGGGGAAUUCCUGCUUAUCAUUUAUCUUUUGUUUUUUCAGUUCUGUACCAGAUACUUCUUUGCCUGUGCUUUCUUACAGUCUUUAAUGUUUGUCCUGCCAGACCUCUUGCUUAUGAACUUCAGUGCUUGCAUUUUGCAGGGCUCCAUGUCAGUCUGCACAAACGAAAGGCAGUAAGUGCUGGAAAUUGGGGUUAACAGUCCCUGUGUUUCAGCUUGAUCUUCCAUUGAUCUGGUGCUUUCUUAAGUUCAAGCCAGACAUGAGCCUCACACUACAGAUUGCCAUGUGCCUGUAGUGAUGAUCUACUGGAAAGGUGAUCACAGAAAUCUCAGGAAUAAAAUAAAUAUUAAAAAAAAAAAAAAGAUAAAAAUGAAAAAAAAGAAGACAGCAAAAAAUUUACCUAGUAACUUAAACAGGAGCAGGAUUUGACCUGAGGCACCUUGAGAGAUGGUGUGGGCAGCACUGCACUAAUGCUGUAACAAGAGUUGAUCACCUCAUUGCUCCAGCAAAGCAAGCUCACACAGAAUCACAGAAUGGUUUGGGUCGGAAGGGACUGCAAAGAUCAUCUAGUUGAACUCCCUUGCCAUAGGCAGGGAGACCUUCUAUCAGACCAGGUUGUUCAGGGCCCCUUCCAGCCUGGCCUUGAACACUUCCAGGGGUUGGGCAUCCACAACUUCCCUGGGCAUCUGCUCAGCCUGUGCCCUACAGGUGUCCCUAUAAGUGGAUGGGGCCGAUCAAAGCCUUGCUGUCACCAGGCUGCCACCCUGCUGAUGUUACAACAGUCUGUGAGGGUGAAAAAAAAGACUCAGAAAGAGAAAAGGAUGUGUCAGAGCUGCAGAACGGCAUUGCCAAAGAACAUUCUCGUGCGUGUCCAGAGAUAGCCACUGCAGCCCAGGUCCUGUUGAAUCAUGCUGUGGUUGUUCUGGCCUUUGUGUGGGUAACAGUGAU
Passer montanus (Eurasian tree sparrow) is the source of this 3131-nucleotide long non-coding RNA. RefSeq lists it as uncharacterized. The transcript has 6 exons. NCBI's taxonomy places the organism in Eukaryota, Metazoa, Chordata, Aves, Passeriformes, Passeridae. The record is from RefSeq and is a predicted model, not a curated record.